GUUGAAACACCGGUUUUCGUACGAUCACCGAAAUUUAAGCAACGUCGAGCCUGGUCAGUACCUAGAUGGGUGACCGCUUGGGAAUACCAGGUGCU
RNAcentral lists this ribosomal RNA (95 nucleotides) under Acanthosepion pharaonis. Lineage: Eukaryota; Metazoa; Mollusca; Cephalopoda; Sepiida; Sepiidae. The record is from RNAcentral.